GGCGGGCCUACUUCAUGCAAGUCGAAGCGGACAGAUGGGAAGCUUGCUCCCUGAUGUUAGCGGCGGACGGGUGAGUAACACGUGGGUAACCUGCCUGUAAGACUGGGAUAACUCCGGGAAACCGGGGCUAAUACCGGAUGGUUGUUUGAACCGCAUGGUUCAGACAUAAAAGGUGGCUUCGGCUACCACUUACAGAUGGACCCGCGGCGCAUUAGCUAGUUGGUGAGGUAACGGCUCACCAAGGCGACGAUGCGUAGCCGACCUGAGAGGGUGAUCGGCCACACUGGGACUGAGACACGGCCCAGACUCCUACGGGAGGCAGCAGUAGGGAAUCUUCCGCAAUGGACGAAAGUCUGACGGAGCAACGCCGCGUGAGUGAUGAAGGUUUUCGGAUCGUAAAGCUCUGUUGUUAGGGAAGAACAAGUGCCGUUCAAAUAGGGCGGCACCUUGACGGUACCUAACCAGAAAGCCACGGCUAACUACGUGCCAGCAGCCGCGGUAAUACGUAGGUGGCAAGCGUUGUCCGGAAUUAUUGGGCGUAAAGGGCUCGCAGGCGGUUUCUUAAGUCUGAUGUGAAAGCCCCCGGCUCAACCGGGGAGGGUCAUUGGAAACUGGGGAACUUGAGUGCAGAAGAGGAGAGUGGAAUUCCACGUGUAGCGGUGAAAUGCGUAGAGAUGUGGAGGAACACCAGUGGCGAAGGCGACUCUCUGGUCUGUAACUGACGCUGAGGAGCGAAAGC
Molecule: ribosomal RNA, 739 nt
Filed under: Bacillus subtilis
Lineage: Bacteria; Bacillati; Bacillota; Bacilli; Caryophanales; Bacillaceae
Description: bacterial SSU rRNA
Rfam family: Bacterial small subunit ribosomal RNA
Source: RNAcentral